UCUCCGUAGGUGAACCUGCGGAGGGAUCAUUACCAGAGAUGGCGACCUUCGGGUCCCGUCCCCAACCCUUUGUUGACCUAAAACCAUUUUGCCUCGGGGGCAGAGCGUCCGCCGCCGCCCCCGGAGGACCACCUAACGCUGUUUUAAUACGUCGGAGUAUUGAUUAAAUAAAUAAAAACUUUCAACAACGGAUCUCUUGGUUCUGGCAUCGAUGAAGAACGCAGC
Molecule: unclassified non-coding RNA, 225 nt
Filed under: uncultured fungus
Lineage: Eukaryota; Fungi
Description: sequence contains ITS1, 5.8S rRNA gene
Rfam family: 5.8S ribosomal RNA (bases 177-225)
Source: RNAcentral